Molecule: long non-coding RNA, 839 nt
Filed under: Hordeum vulgare
Lineage: Eukaryota; Viridiplantae; Streptophyta; Magnoliopsida; Poales; Poaceae
Description: long non-coding RNA (HVUL_LNC015037)
Source: RNAcentral
AGGGAACAGUUUAAUUAACAUUGGACCAUUACAUGUUAAUUCGGAAAACGUUCAUUGGGAUGAGAUAAAAAACGGAUAAACAUUCAUCCGACGGUUAGCAUGCACCACGAUGCUUGCUUAUGCACACAAAUACAUAUUGACUGUUUCGACAUGCAAACAUCACAUUUCCAUGCGCAGGGAAAGACGUUGAACAGCGGAGGACACACGACAGUUUCAGUAGACAAUGGUUUUACAGUAACACCACAGCAGUAACGAUACACACACGCAUGAUACUGUAGCCCGCUAACUCUGGACGAACACAAAUCAGCAGCGGCCGGGUAACCAAGCAAUCUGCAUUAUUAUUCAGACUACAUUUUACUAUUUAAUCUCCGAUGAGAAUGGCCCUGCAUGCGUUGACAGGGACUCACAGCCCUAGACUCUGGGCUUGUAGGCCGGCGUCGACGACGGCUCCUCGUAGUCGGCGGUGGCCGCCUGGACGCCAGCGUAGUCCCCUUCCGCGCCGUGCUCGAGGAAGGCAGAUGGCGCCGGGGUCGGGGCGUAAGGUGUGGGCUCCGGAGCGGACGGAGUGUAUGGGGGCGGUGUUGGCGUGUGAGGCGUAGGGUGCCGGGGGCGAUGCUUGGGCGGAGACGGAGGACGCCUGGGUGACUUCUUCGUGUGGGCCAUGGUGAGCGGCGUCGGGGCGGGGUUGUGCCCGCCGUUCUCCGCCUGGGUCUCCAAGGCCAGGCUCAGGAAGAGCAGGGUCACAAGGAGAGCGGCUUUGCUACCCAUUCUCGCUAGGCGCUAGCUAGCUGCUCUCACUCCCUCACGUACUGCAAAGCUCUUGGAUCGGUGUGGUUCUG